GGAGAGGUGGCCGAGUGGCUGAAGGCACCGGUUUGCUAAACCGGUAGGGGGCGAUAAGCUCCCUCGCGGGUUCGAAUCCCGCCCUCUCCGC
Molecule: transfer RNA, 91 nt
Filed under: bacterium HR36
Lineage: Bacteria
Description: tRNA-Ser
Rfam family: tRNA
About the family: Transfer RNA (tRNA) molecules are approximately 80 nucleotides in length. Their secondary structure includes four short double-helical elements and three loops (D, anti-codon, and T loops). Further hydrogen bonds mediate the characteristic L-shaped molecular structure. tRNAs have two regions of fundamental functional importance: the anti-codon, which is responsible for specific mRNA codon recognition, and the 3' end, to which the tRNAs corresponding amino acid is attached (by aminoacyl-tRNA synthetases). tRNAs cope with the degeneracy of the genetic code in two manners: having more than one tRNA (with a specific anti-codon) for a particular amino acid; and 'wobble' base-pairing, i.e. permitting non-standard base-pairing at the 3rd anti-codon position.
Source: RNAcentral